This is a long non-coding RNA of Bubalus bubalis (water buffalo), 239 nucleotides long. RefSeq lists it as uncharacterized. The transcript is spliced from 2 exons. The record is from RefSeq and is a predicted model, not a curated record. Lineage: Eukaryota; Metazoa; Chordata; Mammalia; Artiodactyla; Bovidae.
AGUGGCAUGCCUUCUGUUCUCUGGUGGUACACGUGAAAUACAGGAUUUCACUGAACAAAUCAGGAUUGCUGACAGGGGGUUCAUGAAGAGUUCUUAUGUGACCGACUUACACAGCUGUAAAGUUUAUUUUCAAGGAAGAUCCUCCUGGCGUUAGUUCUUAAAAGAUACAAUUAAAAUAAGAGCAACUGUCAAAAACUACAUCGUGUUUUUAACAUAUUUUUAAUAAAGGGCAUCCCCUC